AAAGACCUUAUGCUUUUGGAGCGGCCGAUGUCUGAUUAGCUAGUUGGUGAGGUAAAUGCUUACCAAGGCGACGAUCAGUAGUUGGUCUGAGAGGACGACCAGCCACACUGGGACUGAGACACGGCCCAGACUCCUGCGGGAGGCAGCAGUGGGGAAUUUUGGACAAUGGGCGCAAGCCUGAUCCAGCAAUGCCGUGUGAGUGAAGAAGGCCUUCGGGUUGUAAAGCUCUUUCAGUCGAGAAGAAAAGGUUGUGACUAAUACUCACAACCCAUGACGGUAUCGACAGAAGAAGCACCGGCUAACUACGUGCCAGCAGCCGCGGUAAUACGUAGGGUGCGAGCGUUAAUCGGAGUUACUGGGCGUAAAGCGUGCGAAGACGGUUAUUUAAGUCAGGUGUGAAAGCCCAAGGCUCAACCUUGGAAUU
Molecule: ribosomal RNA, 424 nt
Filed under: uncultured Nitrosospira sp.
Lineage: Bacteria; Pseudomonadati; Pseudomonadota; Betaproteobacteria; Nitrosomonadales; Nitrosomonadaceae
Description: bacterial SSU rRNA
Rfam family: Bacterial small subunit ribosomal RNA
Source: RNAcentral